This 541-nucleotide ribosomal RNA is filed under the name uncultured bacterium. Its description in RNAcentral is "bacterial SSU rRNA". It matches the Rfam family "Bacterial small subunit ribosomal RNA", at positions 355 to 894 of the family's 1533-position model. The record is from RNAcentral.
UGGGGAAUAUUGCGCAAUGGGGGGAACCCUGACGCAGCCAUGCCGCGUGAAUGAAGAAGGCCUUAGGGUUGUAAAGUUCUUUCGGUAUUGAGGAAGGUUGAUGUGUUAAUAGCACAUCAAAUUGACGUUAAAUACAGAAGAAGCACCGGCUAACUCCGUGCCAGCAGCCGCGGUAAUACGGAGGGUGCGAGCGUUAAUCGGAAUAACUGGGCGUAAAGGGACGCAGGCGGUAUUUAAGUGAAUGUGAGGUGUGAAAUCCCCGGGCAUUGCUGGGGACUGCUNUAAGAGUAUUUAUAAGGUUNUAGGCGAGGGGAAUUUCCCAUGGGUAGAGUGAGAGGAAAAAGAAGGGAAAAAACCCCUGGAAUGGCCCCCUUUAAGUCCCUUGGCUCUGUGCUGAAGCUCAUGAGCCAAAGCGUGNAAGCACACGGGACUACAUACCCUGGUAGUCCACUCUGGGNGCGCUGUCGAUUUGGGGGCUGGCGUUUAACUCUGGCGCCCGCAGGGNANNGAAACGACCGCCUGGNGAGUACGGCCGCAAGGG